AAAAAAAACCGAAAAAAAAAAAAAAAAAAAAAGAGUGGGAAGAUGCCAAACAAAUCUGGAUGACGAAGCUUUUGGUUUAUUGUUUUCUUCUU
This 92-nucleotide non-coding RNA is filed under the name Protocruzia adhaerens. Lineage: Eukaryota; Ciliophora; Spirotrichea. The record is from RNAcentral.